CGGCGGACGGGUGAGUAACACGUGGAUAACCUACCUAUAAGACUGGGAUAACUUCGGGAAACCGGAGCUAAUACCGGAUAAUAUAUUGAACCGUAUGGUUCAAUAGUGAAAGACGGUUUUGCUGUCACUUAUAGAUGGAUCCGCGCCGCAUUAGCUAGUUGGUAAGGUAACGGCUUACCAAGGCAACGAUGCGUAGCCGACCUGAGAGGGUGAUCGGCCACACUGAAACUGAGACACGGUCCAG
This 244-nucleotide ribosomal RNA is filed under the name uncultured Staphylococcus sp. RNAcentral's name for it is "partial 16S ribosomal RNA". It matches the Rfam family "Bacterial small subunit ribosomal RNA", at positions 96 to 334 of the family's 1533-position model. The record is from RNAcentral. Lineage: Bacteria; Bacillati; Bacillota; Bacilli; Caryophanales; Staphylococcaceae.